GAUGAACGCUGGCGGCGUGCCUAAUACAUGCAAGUCGAGCGAACGGACGAGAAGCUUGCUUCUCUGAUGUUAGCGGCGGACGGGUGAGUAACACGUGGAUAACCUACCUAUAAGACUGGGAUAACUUCGGGAAACCGGAGCUAAUACCGGAUAAUAUUUUGAACCGCAUGGUUCAAAAGUGAAAGACGGUCUUGCUGUCACUUAUAGAUGGAUCCGCGCUGCAUUAGCUAGUUGGUAAGGUAACGGCUUACCAAGGCAACGAUGCAUAGCCGAUCUGAGAGGGUGAUCGGCCACACUGGAACUGAGACACGGUCCAGACUCCUACGGGAGGCAGCAGUAGGGAAUCUUCCGCAAUGGGCGAAAGCCUGACGGAGCAACACCGCGUGAGUGAUGAAGGUCUUCGGAUCGUAAAACUCUGUUAUUAGGGAAGAACAUAUGUGUAAGUAACUGUGCACAUCUUGACGGUACCUAAUCAGAAAGCCACGGCUAACUACGUG
Molecule: ribosomal RNA, 497 nt
Filed under: uncultured bacterium
Lineage: Bacteria
Description: partial 16S ribosomal RNA
Rfam family: Bacterial small subunit ribosomal RNA
Source: RNAcentral